UACGAAGGGGGCUAGCGUUGCUCGGAAUCACUGGGCGUAAAGGGUGCGUAGGCGGGUCUUUUAAGUCAGGGGUGAAAUCCUGGAGCUCAACUCCAGAACUGCCUUUGAUACUGAGGAUCUUGAGUUCGGGAGAGGUGAGUGGAACUGCGAGUGUAGAGGUGAAAUUCGUAGAUAUUCGGCGGAACACCAGUGGCGAAGGCGACUCACUGGCCCGAUACUGACGCUGAGGCGCGAAAAGCGUGGGGAGCAAACAGG
RNAcentral lists this ribosomal RNA (255 nucleotides) under uncultured bacterium. RNAcentral describes it as "partial 16S ribosomal RNA". It matches the Rfam family "Bacterial small subunit ribosomal RNA", at positions 524 to 776 of the family's 1533-position model. The record is from RNAcentral.